Molecule: ribosomal RNA, 495 nt
Filed under: uncultured bacterium
Lineage: Bacteria
Description: partial 16S ribosomal RNA
Rfam family: Bacterial small subunit ribosomal RNA
Source: RNAcentral
GAUGAACGCUGGCGGCGUGCCUAAUACAUGCAAGUCGAGCGAACGGACGAGAAGCUUGCUUCUCUGAUGUUAGCGGCGGACGGGUGAGUAACACGUGGAUAACCUACCUAUAAGACUGGGAUAACUUCGGGAAACCGGAGCUAAUACCGGAUAAUAUUUUGAACCGCAUGGUUCAAAAGUGAAAGACGGUCUUGCUGUCACUUAUAGAUGGAUCCGCGCUGCAUUAGCUAGUUGGUAAGGUAACGGCUUACCAAGGCAACGAUGCAUAGCCGACCUGAGAGGGUGAUCGGCCACACUGGAACUGAGACACGGUCCAGACUCCUACGGGAGGCAGCAGUAGGGAAUCGUCCGCAAUGGGCGAAAGCCUGACGGAGCAACGCCGCGUGAGUGAUGAAGGUCUUCGGAUCGUAAAACUCUGUUAUUAGGGAAGAACAUAUGUGUAAGUAACUGUGCACAUCGUGACGGUACCUAAUCAGAAAGCCACGGCUAACUACG